This 30-nucleotide non-coding RNA is filed under the name Homo sapiens (human). Lineage: Eukaryota; Metazoa; Chordata; Mammalia; Primates; Hominidae. The record is from RNAcentral.
UNGGUUGCUGAGAGCAACAGGGACCUCUGC